GAGUUUGAUCUUGGCUCAGGAUGAACGCUGGCGGCGUGCCUAAUACAUGCAAGUCGAGCGAACGGACGAGAAGCUUGCUUCUCUGAUGUUAGCGGCGGACGGGUGAGUAACACGUGGGUAACCUACCUAUAAGACUGGGAUAACUCCGGGAAACCGGGGCUAAUACCGGAUAACACAUGAAACCGCAUGGUUUCAUGAUGAAAGACGGUCUUGCUGUCACUUAUAGAUGGAUCCGCGCUGCAUUAGCUAGUUGGUAAGGUAACGGCUUACCAAGGCAACGAUGCAUAGCCGACCUGAGAGGGUGAUCGGCCACACUGGAACUGAGACACGGUCCAGACUCCUACGGGAGGCAGCAGUAGGGAAUCUUCCGCAAUGGGCGGAAGCCUGACGGAGCAACGCCGCGUGAGUGAUGAAGGUCUUCGGAUCGUAAAACUCUGUUAUUAGGGAGAACAUAUGUGUAGUAACUGUGCACAUCUUGACGGUACCUAAUCAGAAAGCCACGGCUAACUACG
Molecule: ribosomal RNA, 512 nt
Filed under: uncultured microorganism
Description: bacterial SSU rRNA
Rfam family: Bacterial small subunit ribosomal RNA
Source: RNAcentral